GUGACUGCGUACCUUUUGUAUAAUGGGUCAGCGACUUAUAUUCUGUAGCAAGGUUAACCGAAUAGGGGAGCCGAAGGGAAACCGAGUCUUAACUGGGCGUUAAGUUGCAGGGUAUAGACCCGAAACCCGGUGAUCUAGCCAUGGGCAGGUUGAAGGUUGGGUAACACUAACUGGAGGACCGAACCGACUAAUGUUGAAAAAUUAGCGGAUGACUUGUGGCUGGGGGUGAAAGGCCAAUCAAACCGGGAGAUAGCUGGUUCUCCCCGAAAGCUAUUUAGGUAGCGCCUCGUGAAUUCAUCUCCGGGGGUAGAGCACUGUUUCGGCAAGGGGGUCAUCCCGACUUACCAACCCGAUGCAAACUGCGAAUACCGGAGAAUGUUAUCACGGGAGACACACGGCGGGUGCUAACGUCCGUCGUGAAGAGGGAAACAACCCAGACCGCCAGCUAAGGUCCCAAAGUCAUGGUUAAGUGGGAAACGAUGUGGGAAGGCCCAGACAGCCAGGAUGUUGGCUUAGAAGCAGCCAUCAUUUAAAGAAAGCGUAAUAGCUCACUGGUCGAGUCGGCCUGCGCGGAAGAUGUAACGGGGCUAAACCAUGCACCGAAGCUGCGGCAGCGACACUGUGUGUUGUUGGGUAGGGGAGCGUUCUGUAAGCCUGUGAAGGUGUCUGUGAGGAUGCUGGAGGUAUCAGAAGUGCGAAUGCUGACAUAAGUAACGAUAAAGCGGGUGAAAAGCCCGCUCGCCGGAAGACCAAGGGUUCCUGUCCAACGUUAAUCGGGGCAGGGUGAGUCGACCCCUAAGGCGAGGCCGAAAGGCGUAGUCGAUGGGAAACAGGUUAAUAUUCCUGUACUUGGUGUUACUGCGAAGGGGGGACGGAGAAGGCUAUGUUGGCCGGGCGACGGUUGUCCCGGUUUAAGCGUGUAGGCUGGUUUUCCAGGCAAAUCCGGAAAAUCAAGGCUGAGGCGUGAUGACGAGGCACUACGGUGCUGAAGCAACAAAUGCCCUGCUUCCAGGAAAAGCCUCUAAGCAUCAGGUAACAUCAAAUCGUACCCCAAACCGACACAGGUGGUCAGGUAGAGAAUACCAAGGCGCUUGAGAGAACUCGGGUGAAGGAACUAGGCAAAAUGGUGCCGUAACUUCGGGAGAAGGCACGCUGAUAUGUAGGUGAAGUCCCUCGCGGAUGGAGCUGAAAUCAGUCGAAGAUACCAGCUGGCUGCAACUGUUUAUUAAAAACACAGCACUGUGCAAACACGAAAGUGGACGUAUACGGUGUGACGCCUGCCCGGUGCCGGAAGGUUAAUUGAUGGGGUCAGCGCAAGCGAAGCUCUUGAUCGAAGCCCCGGUAAACGGCGGCCGUAACUAUAACGGUCCUAAGGUAGCGAAAUUCCUUGUCGGGUAAGUUCCGACCUGCACGAAUGGCGUAAUGAUGGCCAGGCUGUCUCCACCCGAGACUCAGUGAAAUUGAACUCGCUGUGAAGAUGCAGUGUACCCGCGGCAAGACGGAAAGACCCCGUGAACCUUUACUAUAGCUUGACACUGAACAUUGAGCCUUGAUGUGUAGGAUAGGUGGGAGGCUUUGAAGUGUGGACGCCAGUCUGCAUGGAGCCGACCUUGAAAUACCACCCUUUAAUGUUUGAUGUUCUAACGUGGACCCGUGAUCCGGGUUGCGGACAGUGUCUGGUGGGUAGUUUGACUGGGGCGGUCUCCUCCUAAAGAGUAACGGAGGAGCACGAAGGUUGGCUAAUCCUGGUCGGACAUCAGGAGGUUAGUGCAAUGGCAUAAGCCAGCUUGACUGCGAGCGUGACGGCGCGAGCAGGUGCGAAAGCAGGUCAUAGUGAUCCGGUGGUUCUGAAUGGAAGGGCCAUCGCUCAACGGAUAAAAGGUACUCCGGGGAUAACAGGCUGAUACCGCCCAAGAGUUCAUAUCGACGGCGGUGUUUGGCACCUCGAUGUCGGCUCAUCACAUCCUGGGGCUGAAGUAGGUCCCAAGGGUAUGGCUGUUCGCCAUUUAAAGUGGUACGCGAGCUGGGUUUAGAACGUCGUGAGACAGUUCGGUCCCUAUCUGCCGUGGGCGCUGGAGAACUGAGGGGGGCUGCUCCUAGUACGAGAGGACCGGAGUGGACGCAUCACUGGUGUUCGGGUUGUCAUGCCAAUGGCACUGCCCGGUAGCUAAAUGCGGAAGAGAUAAGUGCUGAAAGCAUCUAAGCACGAAACUUGCCCCGAGAUGAGUUCUCCCUGACCCUUUAAGGGUCCUGAAGGAACGUUGAAGACGACGACGUUGAUAGGCCGGGUGUGUAAGCGCAGCGAUGCGUUGAGCUAACCGGUACUAAUGAACCGUGAGGCUUAACCU
Molecule: ribosomal RNA, 2348 nt
Filed under: Escherichia coli B103
Lineage: Bacteria; Pseudomonadati; Pseudomonadota; Gammaproteobacteria; Enterobacterales; Enterobacteriaceae
Description: bacterial LSU rRNA
Rfam family: Bacterial large subunit ribosomal RNA
Source: RNAcentral